Molecule: unclassified non-coding RNA, 405 nt
Filed under: soil metagenome
Description: partial contains 5.8S ribosomal RNA, internal transcribed spacer 2, and large subunit ribosomal RNA
Rfam family: 5.8S ribosomal RNA (bases 1-121)
Source: RNAcentral
GAUGAAGAACGCAGCGAAAUGCGAUAAGUAAUGUGAAUUGCAGAAUUCAGUGAAUCAUCGAAUCUUUGAACGCACCUUGCGCCCUUUGGCCAUUCCGAAGGGCAUGCCUGUUUGAGUAUCAUGAACACCUCAACUCUUCAUGGUUUUCCGUGAUGAGCUUGGACUUUGGGGGUCUUGCUGGCCUAUGGUCAGCUCCUCUAAAAUAAAUCAGCUUGCCAGUGUUUGGUGGGUAUCACAGGUGUGAUAACUAUCUACGCUUGUGGUUUUCCACCAGGUAACCUUCAGCAGUGGAGGUUCGCUGGAGCUCACAGAUGUGUCUCUCCUCAGUGAGGACAGCUCUUUGAAUGUUUGAUCUCAAAUCAGGUAGGACUACCCGCUGAACUUAAGCAUAUCAUAAGCGGAGGA